RNAcentral lists this ribosomal RNA (431 nucleotides) under uncultured bacterium. RNAcentral's name for it is "bacterial SSU rRNA". It matches the Rfam family "Bacterial small subunit ribosomal RNA", at positions 29 to 506 of the family's 1533-position model. The record is from RNAcentral.
GCGAACGCUGGCGGCAGGCCUAACACAUGCAAGUCGAACGGAUCCUUCGAGAUUAGUGGCGGACGGGUGAGUAACACGUCGGAACGUGCCUUUUUGUUCGGAAUAUCUCCUGGAAACGGGUGGUAAUGCCGAAUGUGCCCUUCGGGGGAAAGAUUUAUCGCCAUUAGAGCGGCCCGCGUCUGAUUAGCUAGUUGGUGAGGUAAAGGCUCACCAAGGCUACGAUCAGUAGCUGGUCUGAGAGGAUGACCAGCCACAUUGGGACUGAGACACGGACCAGACUCCUACGGGAGGCAGCAGUGGGGAAUAUUGCGCAAUGGGCGAAAGCCUGACGCAGCCAUGCCGCGUGAAUGAUGAAGCUCUUAGGAUUGUAAAAUUCUUUCACCGGUGACGAUAAUGACGGUACCCGGAGAAGAAGCCCCGGCUAACUUCGU